RNAcentral lists this non-coding RNA (21 nucleotides) under Arabidopsis thaliana (thale cress). The record is from RNAcentral. Lineage: Eukaryota; Viridiplantae; Streptophyta; Magnoliopsida; Brassicales; Brassicaceae. RNAcentral also lists the same sequence under 3 other names.
UGAUCCUUCGAUGUCGGCUCU